ACGUCUACAUUAGACUACCCCGUAGUCCCAGCCGUAAACUAUGCGCGUUAGGUGUAUCGGUGACCACGAGUCACCGAGGUGCCGAAGGGAAACCGUGAAACGUGCCGCCUGGGAAGUACGGGUCGCAAGGCUGAAACUUAAAGGAAUUGGCGGGGAGCACCACAACGGGUGGAGCCUGCGGUUUAAUUGGACUCAACGCCGGGAAGCUCACCGGAUAAGACAGCGGAAUGAUUGCCGGGCUGAAGACUCUGCAUGACUAGCUG
This 263-nucleotide ribosomal RNA is filed under the name uncultured archaeon. Its description in RNAcentral is "partial 16S ribosomal RNA". It matches the Rfam family "Archaeal small subunit ribosomal RNA", at positions 716 to 982 of the family's 1478-position model. The record is from RNAcentral.